AUUGAACGCUGGCGGCAGGCCUAACACAUGCAAGUCGAACGGUAACAGGAAGCAGCUUGCUGCUUCGCUGACGAGUGGCGGACGGGUGAGUAAUGUCUGGGAAACUGCCUGAUGGAGGGGGAUAACUACUGGAAACGGUAGCUAAUACCGCAUAACGUCGCAAGACCAAAGAGGGGGACCUUCGGGCCUCUUGCCAUCAGAUGUGCCCAGAUGGGAUUAGCUAGUAGGUGGGGUAACGGCUCACCUAGGCGACGAUCCCUAGCUGGUCUGAGAGGAUGACCAGCCACACUGGAACUGAGACACGGUCCAGACUCCUACGGGAGGCAGCAGUGGGGAAUAUUGCACAAUGGGCGCAAGCCUGAUGCAGCCAUGCCGCGUGUAUGAAGAAGGCCUUCGGGUUGUAAAGUACUUUCAGCGGGGAGGAAGGUGCUGAGGUUAAUAACCUCAGCAAUUGACGUUACCCGCAGAAGAAGCACCGGCUAACUCCGUGCCAGCAGCCGCGGUAAUACGGAGGGUGCAAGCGUUAAUCGGAAUUACUGGGCGUAAAGCGCACGCAGGCGGUCUGUCAAGUCGGAUGUGAAAUCCCCGGGCUCAAUCUGGGAACUGCAUUCGAAACUGGCAGGCUAGAGUCUUGUAGAGGGGGGUAGAAUUCCAGGUGUAGCGGUGAAAUGCGUAGAGAUCUGGAGGAAUACCGGUGGCGAAGGCGGCCCCCUGGACAAAGACUGACGCUCAGGUGCGAAAGCGUGGGGAGCAAACA
This 757-nucleotide ribosomal RNA is filed under the name Enterobacteriaceae bacterium enrichment culture. RNAcentral describes it as "bacterial SSU rRNA". It matches the Rfam family "Bacterial small subunit ribosomal RNA", at positions 28 to 774 of the family's 1533-position model. The record is from RNAcentral. Lineage: Bacteria; Pseudomonadati; Pseudomonadota; Gammaproteobacteria; Enterobacterales; Enterobacteriaceae.